ACGCACGCUGGCGGCGUGCUUCACCCCUGCCAGUCGCACGGAAAGGCCUUUUCGGAGGUACUCGAGUGGCGAACGGGUGAGUAACACGUGGGCGAUCUGCCCUGCACUCUGGGAUAAGCCUGGGAAACUGGGUCUAAUACCGGAUAGGACCGCACUUUAGUGUGUGUGGUGGAAAGUUUUUUCGGUGUAGGAUGAGCCCGCGGCCUAUCAGCUUGUUGGUGGGGUAAUGGCCUACCAAGGCGGCGACGGGUAGCCGGACUGAGAGGUUGGUCGGCCACAUUGGGACUGAGAUACGGCCCAGACUCCUACGGGAGGCAGCAGUGGGGAAUAUUGCACAAUGGGCGCAAGCCUGAUGCAGCGACGCCGCGUGGGGGAUGACGGCCUUCGGGUUGUAAACUCCUUUCGCCAGGGACGAAGCGUUUUGUGACGGUACCUGGAGAAGAAGCACCGGCUAACUACGUG
RNAcentral lists this ribosomal RNA (462 nucleotides) under uncultured bacterium. Its description in RNAcentral is "partial 16S ribosomal RNA". It matches the Rfam family "Bacterial small subunit ribosomal RNA", at positions 29 to 507 of the family's 1533-position model. The record is from RNAcentral.